AGCAGGACUGUCACAUACAGUGUAGAAGUUUUAUUAUUCCAAAUAUUUUUUUCAGAGGUACUGAAAAACAGUACUUUUGUAAUAAAGUAUAUUCUUAGGCAAAAUUGAUUUUUAACACAAAAAUAUGUUUAUACAUCUCCUUAGUGAGAAGUUCAUCUUUGUUUCCAUGUUUUUCUUAUUUACUUCAUGAGUUUCAAGAGAAUACUCAUGUGUUUUAAGUCAACAUAAUUAAUUUCUUGUUUAAACAGAAUUGUUGAGGAGCCAAUUUUACUUGCCUCUUUGGUGUCUUAAAUGAUGGAGACUGUGUUAAUGAAAUGUUACUAUACUUGCUAAUUUUUUAUCAGAUAUGUUUAAAACAAAAUAGAAAUCUUCCUGUUCUUUGAAUCAGUUACAUAUAGUUGCAAUAAAUUCAUUAUUUCUGUUCAAAUGAAGGUUCAAGCUCUGAAUAGGGGUAGACUUCUUACAUGAGGAAACCAAGAAAAGUUACUGGCUGAUUAGGACAGGACUAGGAGGGAUGUGUCACUGGUCUUAGAAAGAGGAGCUCAGCAAGCUGGGAUAUCACAAGGGAUCUGGAAGAAUGUGGGGUUCUAUGUAAAGUGUAGGGGAGAAGCAACAUUUAGAGGAACUGAGAUAUUAUGAUAAGUAUCUUCAUGGAAGAGUUCACAUUGAAGUUGUAGAGGUAAGUGUUGUAAAAAGUCUUGAAGAGAGGGGUUAGGAACCAUUCCUUUAAUGAGGAAGUGGUCUCCAGGGAGUUUGUUUCCAGUAGUGUAUGCACACAAGAUUGGCUGAGUUUCUGGGGAGCAUCUGCAGGCAAAUGUCUCAGGAGAAAAUAGUGGAGGGGGAUGCUACCAGUAGUCUCUACAAACUACCUGUUUUUUCUGUAAUUCCUUCUCCAAGAUACAAAAGUUAGCUUCUCUAAUGUGUAUUUACAUUUAGGCUUUUUCUCUAUGAAUAGGCUUUAGCAAUCUUACUCUUUGAAUUCUUUUAUUCUGCCUGGAGAUAGUUCAAACAAACUGCAGUUCAAGCACCAACACUGCCCAGCUUUUAAUGAGAGGGAAAAUAAUUCUUCCUGCAAUAUAUAAGCGGGUUAUCUGAUUUCUGAGUCACCAGCUGAAAACCUCUCUUCUCAGAGGAUUGGAGCAGAAAGAAAAAGCUGUUUGGGAUAUCUUGUGUAUCCUAAAUUGUGCUAACUGGAUUUGUCUAGUGAUCUGCAGGAAAAUUCAGGUCUUUCCACAUGUAAGCAUAAGUGAAUGGAAAACCUUCUUUUCCUAACUUUUGUUUAGGAGAAAAAGAAAGAAAAAAGAUUGGAAAGCUAAAAUAUGGUAGCAUAUUCAAAGUUGGUUGCAGUUGUAAAACAGCAAUUGACUUAGUCAUCAGUAAGUUUGGGUAUUUUAUAAGUAAUAAGCAAUUUCUGGGGCACAUUUUUUUACAAGUCUCUAAGUCAUGUUAUAUGUACGGGAUAUUCACAGUAUUGAUGACUCCUACUACCUGGGUGUUAUGGCAACUGUUGAAAAAUGUAUGGAAAAGGGCUUUAAAUUGUAUGUGUCUUGCAAAUGUUAUAUGCAGAUUCCUCAUAAACCCUAUCACCUGGAUGUACUGAAGAGCUUUGUGGUUGGUCUCAGCAAUUUUCAUGCUAGGACAUUACCACUAGGGCUUACUAUUUUUCUUCUUUGUAUAGUUGCCCCAACUCUUUGUUCCAGCACACUGAGCUUUCUGCAUUACUGUAUCAGCUUCUACCUCAUUUUCAGUCUCUAUAGCAACAGUUUCUCAGCAACUGGGAGAUGCUUAGUAAAGACCUCUCAAUUUAGAAAUAUUGCACUCCAACCAUUUAAAAAAAAAAAGCUUUGAAAAAAAGAUCAAAGAAGUUUUAUCUUUAAUAAUUCAGGAUAUUUAUUACUAAUUAAUUAGUGUUCUCUGUUUUGACUGCUUAGACAAUUACCUGAUACUUUGAUCUGGGCCUUUGCUAGGCAUUUGUUGUGAGCAGCUUUAACUUAAAAGCAAAACCUUUAGAACUGUGUCUUGAAGUCAACUUUUAAGUGCUGUAAAACUACUGGACUUCUCUGGCUGUGUCAUCUGACUUCUGGACCUUUAGUAAGUAAUGAGAGGAAGGUAAGCACAGCUACUAUAUUUAAGAGGAAGCAAUUAUUUUGGCCUUUGAACAAAACAUAGAAUGUUUUCACCCUUCAUAGGAAACAAAAGUAAUUGUAGGUUCUUUUAUGCAUAUUUAAGAUGUUGAUCAUAUGUUGUCUGAUUUCAAAAGAAGAAAAGUCUCUGUGAUCAAGUCAGUUGAUCUGCUGGGAGGUUUCUGCCUUACCUUGCGUGGCUUGUAUUUCUCUGUACUUUAAUUAUGUAACAUGCUUCAAAGUGCAUUUUAUUUGCUAAAGUACAUAUUCUGAGAACCUGUAAGGCAAACAAAGUACAUAUAAAUAAUCAAGUAUUUUCUUUCACAUCCCACUAAGAGUCAAGAAAAACGUUAUCCUUCUUCUGCACGUAAGAGUUUUCAUGUUAAUGGGACCAGGGUUGUUAACUAUAACAAUUUAUUUCCUGAACAUUUGUACAUAAUUUAAUUUUUUUUCUUUGUUUCCUUAAGUGUUUUUCACUAUUAAAGCACACAAGUGACUGAAAUAUAACACACGGGCUGAUAGAGUGUAUCAGUGGGCAAAGUUACUUCAGUUUUCUUGGGCAGCAGAUGCUGCUUUUGCUUUCAUAUUGUGUUCAUGUGCUAACAUUAAAGUAGAUUCUGUUCGUUUCACGCAGGCACUCCUACUGCAGUCAAGAUCUGGACUGCCCACAAAGUUUUGUAUAUGAAAAUGUGGACUGUACAUACAUUAAUAAUGCCUUCUGUAAAUUUUUGGAGGGAGGGUUCAUAGAUAUGAUGCUAUACAAUGUUGGCCAGUUUGCUAAAACACAUGAACACAUGAUUAACUUUGAGACCAUGAAUACCCUAGUACUAGACUAUGGAGUCUUUUUUUUCCCAUACGGGUAAUUUAAAUGUUAGACAUUGUGCUGUACCGGAUAGAGAUCUGGUCAUCUCAUGAAUGCCUAAUGCCAUCUGCUAAAUUUCAAAUGGAUCCAGACUUGCAGGAAGCCUUCGGUGAUGUUCAGAGCUCCGUAUACAGAACAGCCCUAAAACUACGCUCAGUACAAAGUCUUUGCCAGUUGGAUUUGAUUGACGUUUCUCUGAUUCAGCACAUCCUAUCAAGUGAGCAAAGUCAGAGGGAGGAGCAGAUUUCUCUGAACAUGCAGCAAAUCUCUAGAAUGCUGAUGAAACUGUUCCAAAGAGCAAGAUUAGAAAACCCAGGCCAGGUAGAUCCAAGAGCUGCUGAAUUUACAUUGAGCCUUCUGGUUGCCAUGUAUGACAGAUCUGGAACAGGGUAUGUCAAAACUAGAUCUGCUGCAGCUGCCUUAAUUUCCCUCUCAGGAGACACUCUAUUGGCUAAAUACAGAGCUUUCUUCCACUUUUAUGCUGUCCCUGAUGGGAAGGAGACUUUGAUUACCCGUAGUGCCCUAAGAAGCCUGCUAACAGACUUAAAUCAGAUCCCAGCCAUUGUGGGAGAAGGCUGCACUCUGUCUUGUAUGGAAAUUGCAAUUCAUGACUGUUUCCAUGGGGUUCUGAAUGCAGCUAUUGUUGAAGAAAAAUUCCUGUCUUGGCUGAGAUCAGAGCCUGCUGUUCUCCUGUGGCUUCCUACAUGUUACAGAUUAUCAGCUACAGAAAUGGUUUCUCACCAAGCUAAAUGCAGAGUCUGCAAAGUUUUCCCCAUUACAGGCAUCAGGUAUCGCUGUUUGAAGUGCCUCAAUUUUGACCUUUGCCAAGCCUGCUUUUUCACUGGCUGUCUCUGCAAACCACAUAAAAGAUCACAUCCUGUUGUGGAACACUGUGUGCAGAUGUCAGCAAAGGCGAAUGCAAAGCACUUUCUCCACACCAUCAGGAACAACAUGUUUCAAGAGCGCUGCAGAAGAAAAGAGGCUCAGAGAAGGACAGCUCUGCAGUCAGUGGAGGAGAGACACUUCCCUGCUCACAAAAAUAUUUUUCCUCCUGUGGAAUUGAGGGCUUCAUCACUACCUGGUCCUGAAAAUGUGUCUUUCCCAGUGGAAAAUGGUGUCCCAGAGUCACCCAGGUUCAUACCUGAAAACAGGACUGUAAUGCAGAAGAGUAAGAAUAACAAGAAGACACCAGAGCAAGGCAAGACAUUAGCUCAGGCAAUAGCCUCUUUUGAAGCAGAGGUGUUAAAAAUGCACAAAUCCAUUAAAAGCAUUCACAGUGACAGCAGGUACAUGAAGAAGCAGUUCAACAAAUGGAAGAACAACAUGCAAUUUCUUCAUAAUUGCCAGGAAGAAAAAAGCUACAAAAUAGAGGCAAAACUCCAAAGACUGAGAGUAAGCCAUGAAAACCUGCAAAUGACACUGCAGCACAUGAAGGAAGAAGUCAAGACCAUGUUGCAGUCAUCAGAGCAUCCUUUUGCACAGUGUCAUAAUACAAUGUCAAGAAAUCCACAUGUUCUGCUGGAAAGGAGAAUGCAGAGUGAAUUAAAUCCUGCCCAAAUAAGGCCUACUUCCAGAACAUAUGCAGAAUGGAGAUCUUUGAAUUCCCCAAGUUCUGUAAAUGGAAUGCAGCUUUUACAGACACCUGAGGCUUUCACUGCAGUGGACUUUAUGUACUCGGAUGACCCACUGGAGUCAGUGUCCCUGCAGAGUGACAAACCCUUUAUGGGGCAGCAUAAAAAAGCAAAAGAGAAACAAACAUAUCCACCUAAACUGACAGAAAACUCUCUCAGUGGAAUGGGGAAUACCGUUCAUAUUCCCAUUGCAAUGCAGAUACCACCUGAUGAGAAGGAGGUCAGAGAGGAAUUAGAACUCCUAAUGAUGAAACUGAAGGAUACACUGUCUCUCCAAACCCAACCAGCCCAACAAACUGCAUUGCACCAGGAGUUCUUCUCUACAGCUGAGCAUGUUUGCAGGUCGUUUUCUGACCUCAUCAACCAAGUAAUUUCACCAGCUUGCAAAUGAUGGAAACUACCAUUCACCUUACAACUUCACUGAAUUACUUAAGGUGGGUCCUAUCAGAAGUGGAAGCACUGACAUCUGCCCAAAGGGCCCUGUGGAAAAGCAUCUCAGUUAAACAGGACCUGUUGAGAUAAUCUGUCUGAUUUCACAUUUGCUAGAGCUUGGGAGCGUAUGGGAACAGGCCCUCUUUAAGUACUGGAAGGCUCCAACAAGGUCUCCUUGGAGCCUGCUCUUCUCCAGAAGAAGUAGUACUGGAACAACCCCAACUUUCUCAGCCUGUCUUUUCAGAAGACUGCUUCACCUCCUCCUCAUUUUCAUGGCCCUUCUCUGGACUUGCUCUAACAGGUCCAUGUCUUUCCCAUGAUGAGAUGUAUUUAUGUAUGUAAAAAAGUACAGAUGUGUACUUAGCAGAGUACUAAGAAUUAACUGUUAAAACUGUGAAAUUUGCUAAGUAAUAUCUAUGAUGCAUGGGUAGAAAUUCUGAGAAUUAUAACCUUUUGUGGAUAGAAACAGCCAGUUGUCUCCAUCAGAUUUCAUUUCUAGUAUACACUCCUCUCUGUUGUAUUUUCUAACAUCCUUCUAGGAUUUCUGAUAUUGAACAAAUUGUUCAGUAUCAGGGUUCAGGGUUGUUUUUAGUGUAGCUCAUGGCAUAUGGAGAACUUCCUGUUUGUGGAAAUCAGCUACAACUGGGAUCAGCAUUUAGGACAAAAUUCAGUUUAAUAUAUGUGUUGAUCUGCUGAGUAUUCAUGCUUGUACUUUUUCAGUUUGGUCAUUGUGGGUGGGGAAGCUACUUCUCUUAAUGAGCUAAAUAAGCAACUGGCUUUUUGUGUAGAAAGUCUCUUCCAUGAGUGAUCCUGAAGAAGUGUUCCUUUGCUAUGUGAAGAAAAAUGUCGAAGGCAGGAUAUUGAUGUGAAAAGUAGCCCAGCCACAGCCUAUGUGUGAGGCUAGGGAGGAGUCUGCUUUGUGGAAUAUAUUUCAUUGUAGAGCUAAAGGACUCCAGAGGUUUCAGUCCUAGCAGCCUUAUUCUUACCUAGCCCCCCAUCUGGCUAUCCAGUCAUGUUCUGGGAACAUUUUUGAGGCACAUUCAGACUUUACUCCCCAGCUGCUUACAGUCACUUUUUAAUCCAAGUUUGGGUGUUGUGAGAAAGAGCUGCCUUGGCAGCCCUGGACCUGAACAUUGCAUUUAAGGAACAAAAGAGGGACAGCUUGCUCUUCCCACACUGCUCUGCCUAGUGGACGUCACUUACAACAGUGGUGGUAGUAAUAGGGCUGUCCUGCUGCUCCCAAGAUCCCCCAAGAAACAUCAUUCUUCUGUACCCUACUCCAUGAGGCAGGCUUUGAUUGCUUUCUCAGAAGCAAGCCAAAAACAUCCUGUGAGUCACUACUUCAUUCUUGUUUGUGCAUCAGAGCCCUUCCACUGGGCACAGACACCUAUGUGUGCAAUGCCAUGCAGCAUGCACAUAUGUCUGUUUACUGAGACUUUUUCAAGGGACAUAGUUAACUUUAUCAAGUUUCUGGUUUUCAAAGCAAUUUAGCAGUCUCAGAUGUGACCAUGAAAGUGAGGAGACAGGCAUGGGACAGUGGGCAGGGAGCCCCAACUACAAUAGAUUGCUCAAAGAAAGGAAUAAUAUUAAAAGAGGCUAAUAAUACUAAAUAAUAAUACUAUAAUAAUUUAAGUGAUGGUUCUGUGAUUUUGACAGAGCCCAUCUUAUUUGUACAGGUUAAAAAUUGAACUGAUUGGUUUGCAUUUUCUGCUUCCCGGCACCUAUUCUGAACUUUAUAAGUUACAAAAUUGGCUAGGACAAGGGUUCUGGAUUUGUCAAAACAGAGGGACAGCCCUGGGCAAGGAGUUGAUAGGGCAUUAAUAUGAGAAUCAGUGCCCCUGAAAGUAUGAUGUGCAUGGCAUUAGUAAGGGCCAGUAGCAAAGGCCACUAGUCCUUAUGGUCUGGUCAAACUCUGGCAGCACUGUGCUGUUAGUCUUCCACAAAGUUCAAGAUUAUAUUUUUUUAGACAGUUGAGAGCUGGAACCCAGGAAAAGCCAGAUUUCACUAAUCUCUUACCUGUGCACGUGGUAAAUGCAUCCAUGCAAUUCCUCCCCUACACCAAUCCAAUCUUUAGGUCUUUCUCUCCAUACAUUAAAGUUUGUGUGUGUGUGUGAGUGCUAUUUACACUUCCUGUUUCUGACUUUUCCCACCCUCUCCCCUAUCCCUGCUUCUCCUUGCAGUUUAGUGUCCUGCUCCACUCCCCGUCAUGGAUUAUGCCUUGCAAUAAUAAUUUAGAAGCUAAUCAGUUAAUUUGCUGUUCUCAUGUAACUCGGAGCUCUCGCUUACGGGU
Catharus ustulatus (Swainson's thrush) is the source of this 7338-nucleotide RNA transcript. It is a transcript of the gene named dystrotelin, with no coding region annotated. Lineage: Eukaryota; Metazoa; Chordata; Aves; Passeriformes; Turdidae. The transcript has 17 exons. The record is from RefSeq and is a predicted model, not a curated record.